Molecule: ribosomal RNA, 498 nt
Filed under: uncultured bacterium
Lineage: Bacteria
Description: partial 16S ribosomal RNA
Rfam family: Bacterial small subunit ribosomal RNA
Source: RNAcentral
AUUGAACGCUGGCGGCAUGCUUUACACAUGCAAGUCGAACGGCAGCGCGGGGCAACCUGGCGGCGAGUGGCGAACGGGGGAGUAAUAUAUCGGAACGUACCCAAGAGUGGGGGAUAACGUAGCGAAAGUUACGCUAAUACCGCAUACGACCUGAGGAUGAAAGUGGGGGAUCGCAAGACCUCAUGCUUCCGGAGCGGCCGAUAUGGGAGUAGCUAGUUGGUGAGGUAAAGGAGAACCAAGGCUACGAUCAGUAGCUGGUCUGAGAGGACGACCGGCCACACUGGAACUGAGACACGGUCCAGACUCCUACGGGAGGCAGCAGUGGGGAAUUUUGGACAAUGGGCGCAAGCCUGAUCCAGCAAUGCCGCGUGAGUGAAGAAGGCCUUCGGGUUGUAAAGCUCUUUUGUCAGGGAAGAAACGGUCUCAGCUAAUAUCUGGGGCUAAUGACGGUACCUGAAGAAUAAGCACCGGCUAACUACGUGCCAGCAGCCGCCGUAA